GAUGAACGCUGGCGGCGUGCCUAAUACAUGCAAGUCGAGCGAACAGACGAGGAGCUUGCUCCUCUGACGUUAGCGGCGGACGGGUGAGUAACACGUGGAUAACCUACCUAUAAGACUGGGAUAACUUCGGGAAACCGGAGCUAAUACCGGAUAAUAUAUUGAACCGCAUGGUUCAAUAGUGAAAGACGGUUUUGCUGCCACUUAUAGAUGGAUCCGCGCCGCAUUAGCUAGUUGGUAAGGUAACGGCUUACCAAGGCAACGAUGCGUAGCCGACCUGAGAGGGUGAUCGGUCACACUGGAACUGAGACACGGUCCAGACUCCUACGGGAGGCAGCAGUAGGGAAUCUUCCGCAAUGGGCGAAAGCCUGACGGAGCAACGCCGCGUGAGUGAUGAAGGUCUUCGGAUCGUAAAACUCUGUUAUUAGGGAAGAACAAAUGUGUAAGUAACUAUGCACGUCUUGACGGUACCUAAUCAGAAAGCCACGGCUAACUACGUG
This 497-nucleotide ribosomal RNA is filed under the name uncultured bacterium. RNAcentral describes it as "partial 16S ribosomal RNA". It matches the Rfam family "Bacterial small subunit ribosomal RNA", at positions 28 to 507 of the family's 1533-position model. The record is from RNAcentral.